UAGGCAGAAGCCUGCUGGUAUUAGGCAUCUAGCUGUUAAUUAGAGGUUUGUGGGAUCGAGGCCCACCUGUCUAG
This 74-nucleotide transfer RNA is filed under the name Nyctyornis amictus. RNAcentral describes it as "tRNA-Asn". Lineage: Eukaryota; Metazoa; Chordata; Aves; Coraciiformes; Meropidae. The record is from RNAcentral.